ACCGCGGUUGCCCAGUUGGUUGAGGCAUCGGCAGUACAGAUGCUGAAAGUUGCAGGUUCAAAUCCUGCCUGCGGUG
Molecule: non-coding RNA, 76 nt
Organism: Phthorimaea operculella (potato tuberworm)
Lineage: Eukaryota; Metazoa; Arthropoda; Insecta; Lepidoptera; Gelechiidae
Source: the annotation of a GenBank genome assembly